Molecule: ribosomal RNA, 496 nt
Filed under: uncultured bacterium
Lineage: Bacteria
Description: partial 16S ribosomal RNA
Rfam family: Bacterial small subunit ribosomal RNA
Source: RNAcentral
GAUAAACGCUAGCGGCAGGCCUAAUACAUGCAAGUCGAGGGGUAGAAGAGGCUUGCUUCUUUGAGACCGGCGCACGGGUACGUAACGCGUAUGCAACCUACCUUCAUCUGGGGGAUAGCCCGGAGAAAUCCGGAUUAAUACCGCAUAAAAUCACAGGAUGGCAUUAUCCAAUGAUCAAACAUUUAUGGGAUGGAGAUGGGCAUGCGUGUCAUUAGCUAGUUGGCGGGGUAACGGCCCACCAAGGCGACGAUGACUAGGGGAUCUGAGAGGAUGGCCCCCCACACUGGUACUGAGACACGGACCAGACUCCUACGGGAGGCAGCAGUGAGGAAUAUUGGUCAAUGGAGGCAACUCUGAACCAGCCAUGCCGCGUGCAGGAAGACUGCCCUAUGGGUUGUAAACUGCUUUUAUUCGGGAAUAAACCUUAUUACGUGUAAUAAGCUGAAUGUACCGAAGGAAUAAGGAUCGGCUAACUCCGUGCCAGCCGCCGCAGUAA